CGAACGCUGGCGGCGUGCUUAACACAUGCAAGUCGAACGGUGAAGCCCAGCUUGCUGGGUGGAUCAGUGGCGAACGGGUGAGUAACACGUGAGUAACCUGCCCCUGACUCUGGGAUAAGCCUUGGAAACGAGGUCUAAUACCGGAUACGUGACGCUCAGGCAUCUGAUGCGUCUGGAAAGAUUUAUCGGUCAGGGAUGGACUCGCGGCCUAUCAGCUUGUUGGUGGGGUAACGGCCCACCAAGGCGACGACGGGUAGCCGGCCUGAGAGGGCGACCGGCCACACUGGGACUGAGACACGGCCCAGACUCCUACGGGAGGCAGCAGUGGGGAAUAUUGCACAAUGGGCGCAAGCCUGAUGCAGCGACGCCGCGUGAGGGAUGAAGGCCUUCGGGUUGUAAACCUCUUUCAGCAGGGAAGAAGCGCAAGUGACGGUACCUGCAGAAGAAGCGCCGGCUAACUACGUGCCAGCAGCCGCGGUAAUACGUAGGGCGCAAGCGUUGUCCGGAAUUAUUGGGCGUAAAGAGCUCGUAGGCGGUUUGUCGCGUCUGCUGUGAAAACUCGAGGCUCAACCUCGGGCUUGCAGUGGGUACGGGCAGACUAGAGUGCGGUAGGGGAGACUGGAAUUCCUGGUGUAGCGGUGGAAUGCGCAGAUAUCAGGAGGAACACCGAUGGCGAAGGCAGGUCUCUGGGCCGCAACUGACGCUGAGGAGCGAAAGCAUGGGGAGCGAACAGGAUUAGAUACCCUGGUAGUCCAUGCCGUAAACGUUGGGCACUAGGUGUGGGGCUCAUUCCACGAGUUCCGUGCCGCAGCAAACGCAUUAAGUGCCCCGCCUGGGGAGUACGGCCGCAAGGCUAAAACUCAAAGAAAUUGACGGGGGCCCGCACAAGCGGCGGAGCAUGCGGAUUAAUUCGAUGCAACGCGAAGAACCUUACCAAGGCUUGACAUACACCGGAAACU
RNAcentral lists this ribosomal RNA (959 nucleotides) under uncultured bacterium. RNAcentral's name for it is "bacterial SSU rRNA". It matches the Rfam family "Bacterial small subunit ribosomal RNA", at positions 30 to 998 of the family's 1533-position model. The record is from RNAcentral.